CUCGGGUCCCCUUACACAUUGUGGAAGCUUUGUUCUUUCACUCUUUGCUUUAAAUCUUGCUGCUGCUCACUCACUCUUUGGGUCCACACUGCUUUUAUGAGCUGUAACACUCACUGCAAAAGUCUGCAGCUUCACUCUUGAAGCCAGUGAGACCAGGAGCCCACCAGGGAGAAAGAGCAACUCCAGAUGCGCUGCCUUAAGAGCUGUAACACUCACCGCAAUGGUCUGCAGCUUCACUCCUGAGCCAGCGAGACCCCGAACCCACCAGAAGGAAGAAACUCCGAACACAUCCAAAUAUCAGAAGGAACAAACUCCAGACGCGCCACCUUAAGAGCUGUAACAUUCACCGCGAGGGUCCGCGGCUUCAUUCUUGAAGUCAGUGAGACCAAGAACGCACCAAUUCUGGACACACCAUCAGCAGUGUUGAGACUUUCUUGCAAAAAUGCCUGUUUGGGAUUCCUCAGAGUACAGACAAAAAGGAAGGCUUGAUCAGCAUGUGGUGGAUCUGAAGAUUCAAAGAGGUGCCACAGCUCAAAAGUAGACAUUUUGGCAAAUGUGAAGAAGUGAGAUUCAAUGAAGAUGAUAAGAAAUGAAAGGUGUUACCAAAAUUACACAAGUAUUUCUGUCAUUUUCCUACUAAAUUACAUGAAGGGGGUUGUCUGCUUAUGAGCUGCACCACCGAGCAGCAUGCCUAUCAGCGAGAAGGUGCCUGACAAUUCUCAGUUGAAAUGUCCUGACCAAGUUCCCCCAGAAAUUUAUGACUAAUAACAAAAGGGAAAAGCUACCCUCACAAGGAGAUGUCCAGUUGACACUAUCUCAACCAAAAUUAUUAAACAUAGCAUCAGCAAUCGUGGGACAAACAGACGCAAACAUCUCCUGGUGUGAGGCGGUGCAGAGGAAGGACUUGCUGACAUCUGUGAGGAAGAGAACAAUUGUGCAUGUCCAGAGACGCCAGUGCAGGAAAAGACCUAUCUGUGAAGGCGGUGUCCAGAGCAGACCCAGAUGUCACUGGGGGGUCCCUCCAGCAGGGUGGGGUCCAGCUCUUCUGACCCCAGCCCAGCCCCCUCCCCUGGACCCUGUAGGGUUGUUCAGCAAGAUUCAAAGCUGCAACCUGGGGGCCAGUAAACAGGGCAAUGCCAAGGCAGUGGGCAGGAGGGCUGGAGAGGGAUUUUAUCGACACUGAAGACCCGAGGACCUCAACUGUGGGAUGAGACCAGGUCCUUCAGGAGAACAAUCACAAGAGAGGGAAAGAGGAAAAGGACUAGAGCUAAAAAAGGAGCUCAUGAGUCAGAAAGAGGAUAAAAGACAGCCAGCAUAUAAGAGGAGAUCAAUUACCUGCUGGUGGCUGCCUGUAAUGGUGGAGUCUUCCAAUUCUGUGAAGCAAGCAUCAGAGUGUCCGGAGGAGCAGCGGUGAUGGGGUGGCCAUAAGAAGGAAAGGGGAGAGUUAGAGUCGAGAGAACCACUCAGACCCCGCUGUCCUGGGGCUGUGGAGCCAACCCCAGAGCCUCUGAUGUGCUCAUUUCUGGAGCCUUCUCCACAGCCUGUAUCAUUUCCUCUGUGCUAUGAGGGAGGGACCUCUGACUUCCCAUGUACUUUCCCAGCCCUCACAUUCCAUAACUGAGCCAAGGGAGGGGAAGCCGUGUCAUUCUGUUCCUCCAAGAGGCAGCGCCCUCUUCACAACGUUGUGCGUGACAUGGAGUUCCCUCCCUUCUCCUCCUGUAGGGCCUGUUUCUGUUCCCGCAUGAAUCCCAUUUCCUUUCACCCUGUGGACCUCCACCAGUCCUACUGUUCUCCAAAAUAAGAACACUGGAAAGAAGGUCAAGGCUGCACUGCCAGGGCCUCCAAUCAACCCACGGAUCGCACCCUGGGUCAGCAGCACCUCCCACAGGCCUGGGGUUGUGUUGGGGCCUGCGGGAGGUGAUGAUGGCCGAUGUCACUUAUACAGUGACUGUUCUAUGCCUGGAGUGACCUUAGAGACUUGGAAAAUAUUCAGCCCUCAAAAGAAUCCCAGCAGCUUCUGAAUAUUUGGAAACAAUGGAACAGAAUUCAAGGUAAAGCUCCUUGUCCCAGUUGCCUUAAUCUGCAAGUGAGGCCAGCAGUUGCCAGCACAGAAAUGAGGGGACCCUCCCAGGGUUUGCCUGAGCUGUGGGAAGACUAGGAGGGAAGGUACCUGGAAGACCUGACACAGAGAACAAUCUGGGCCUGACUGGAGUGUGGGGAGAAGGACAAGGCUGCUGAGCCAGAGAGGAGGGUGUGACAAGACAAGUGACUACUGUGCCAGCUGCCCAGAGGCUCUGCCCUGGGCCCAGUGGAUUCCAGGGACCAGGCUACAGGGAGGGUGAGAGCCACUGCCUACAGCAACACAGCAGCCCCUCCACACAUAUCCCUUAGGAUUCCUGCCAGCCACAGAGGGCCCUGAGCAACAGCUAGACUUGGGCCUCUCCAGUGAAAGCCAAUUUAGGUUUCAUUCAAAGCACAGGGAUUUGGGAUUGGAUGGGAUUGGGUGAGGAGUGGAGGCCAAAACUGUGCUCAAUCAUGUGUUCUGCCCUCAGGACUCCAGGAUGCUGGGGCACACGUAGGAAUCCCAGAGGAAGGAUUCCCUGUGUCAUCCGACCCAGGGAGCACCCUUAGAGCAGGAGCAGACAGUGAGGACAGGACAGGAAGGUGCUGUUGCAGGUCCCAAGAGUGUAGAGAAAGACAGUGGGCUCCUUUCACCUCCUGGCACACGUAUGAAGGACUUUGUCUUCAGGAUCACGUAGCGCCUAUGUGGGGCUGUGUCCCACCCCACACUCAACUUUACACCUGCAUACUCAUCUUGUGAUCUCUAUUCACAAAAAAAUGCUACCUCAUCAAAACCCAGGGCUCUGGUGCUUACUGUGGCAAAGGCAGGAAUGAUCUGGUCUUCUGCAAAAUGUAAUAUUUAAACACCAGAGCAAGAAAUGAUGGUGACAUACACAACUCGCACAAAGCCCAUGAGAACAAAACUCUUAGGACUUUCUCAUUAAGAUACAAAAAAUCCCAAGUCAGACUUCUACACCUGUUUCAUAUUUAGUCACUUCACUGAUCCCAUCCUAGGCUCCAAAAUAAGUGUAACCCAAUUCCCAAGAACCCUGUCUCACUGGUCAACCCUGGAGUGUUGGUCCCUACCUGACCAGUCUAUUUCCUCCUGGAUGGAUCCAGAGGUGGUGCCCAUGAGCCCAUGUACAGAGACACAAACAUUAGUACUACUGCUCUGUCCACUGUGAUUCUCCCUGGGCUCUGUGAACUCAGGGGCCUUUAUGAAGGCACUGCUCACAGUUGUGAGCCUUCAGGUAAGACAGAGGACCUGAAAUAAUCCCUUUCAACUGUUCACCGACACUGGCUCAUAGCAUCUCUUACCUCCAAUCUGAGAACCUGAGAUUCCAGCCUUGAUGCAAAUGCACUGAGUUAGGUGGGUGCAGAGAACAGAACCUGGGCCAGACUCACAGCAGCUGCUUCCCAGGUGAUUCUGGGAGAAUGGAGAUGCUCUCUUAAGAGUAGACUUUUGGCAACUGGGAACUUCUAGCAUGGCUCUUGUGAGGAGGUUAUGAAUUUUUUCAUUUAUUUUAACAUGAAUGGGCACAUAUGCCACUGAGGACCAUACUGGAAUGCACAGGUCUAAACCCAAAGAUGAGGAAGAUGUGACUCUCCCCCCUGGUGAUUCCUGGCAGAGUGGUUUGCUGCUGUGAUCUGAUCAUUCAUGGAUGGGUACUUCAGGGGCACAGGAACAAGCUCCAGGCCCCCUGUGAAGUGCAGGGAUGCCACAACAAAAAUAAAAAAGCCUGGUCCAGCAAAGGAGGACUCGUAAACAGAAAAACAGCCUCUUCUGCAAGGAGAAAAGCUGAACCAAAGUAGCCAGGGUAGAGAUGAGGGGGACACUUCAUUGACUUCAGGAGCCCACCCUAUUCUCCUGUGACCUUGGAUCAGAAUCCACUAAGGUUUCUAAAUUACUAUGAGAAACAACAGAUUGAAGGAGAUGAGCAGGAAGCCUUUUCACACUGGUGCUGGAUCUCAGCAAAGGGUUUGGAAGCAUUGGAACAUUACUGGGGCCCAAGAUGGGCUGCCCAGGGCUAAGCUCUGGGAUGAGAAGGAACGAGGAGGACAUAGUCCUUCCCCUCCGUGACCAGCCAUGGCCAGGAUUCAUCUACACAUAAGUAAAGCAAAACAGAGUUUAGGACUAACAAUUCCAAGACUAUCUCAGAGAAAAGGCAAAGUGAUGUCUUAUACAUCACACAGGAGAGUUGCAAGGACCACCUGGACUCUGGAGCAGCCCCACUCCCUUUGCUGAGUUCACCUUGCACUGAAGCAGGGUCUGUUCUCACCUCCUCUGCAACUAGUGUGGGGCAGGUAUCCUGCCUGAUGAUUAUUUCAUUAAAUACAAUAGAAUAUGCCACUGAUUAUUGUCUGCUUUUGAAAAGGAGCUGAGGAAUGAUUUCACCAUUCUAGACCAAAAGCCUGAGGACUGUGUGUGUUUUACAUUAAUGAUCACACUAAAGCCCACUGUGCAAUGUACCUACUCAAACAAACCCUGGGUUAGCUGACCAUUGAGACCAUCUGAUAACGAUAGUGUUUGGGAUCUGAAUAGCUUUUCAUUCUCCCACAUGCACACAGAAUUGCUGGAAUAACUUGGCCUAGCAAGAAAUUAUACCAGGGCUUUGUGACAAAUUCAGUGUACUAGCUCAUGGCAUUAACCUUCCACUCAUCCCCGAGUUCACAUGUGCCUCUUGCACUUAAAAGACCAAGAGCUUGGGAAAUUCAACUCUGCAGCGUGUCCAUCUGAGGACUGGGUAUAUUAAACUUAUCUUCAGGUACAGCUGUGGUGGACGAUGAAUGGGUUGAUUUAUGCAAACUGUGCAGUGGUGAUGGAAUUUUUCUUGGACAUUGAUCCUCGUGUUGUGCUUUGAACAUGGGAGUAUGUUUUCUGGGGAAAUGCACACACACUCACAAAGACAUCCACAAUCAUUCCAUAUAGACUCUCUCCUCUGUCCCUCCCAACUCUGAUGUACUACCCCACCUUACAUGACACUGCUGCUUCCAGGGAUGACAGUAGCAUGGUUAGAGUACUGGACUCUUAGUUUGUUGGGGUGUUUUUUUUUUUGUUUGUUUUUGUUUUUUUUUUUGAGACGGAGUUUCGCUCGUUGCCCAGGCUGGAGUGCAAUGGCACAACCUUGGCUCACCGCAACCUCUACCACCUGGGUUCAGGUGAUUCUCCUGCCUUGGCCUCCUGAGUAGCUGGGAUUGCAGGCAUGUGACACCACACCCAGGUA
This 5285-nucleotide long non-coding RNA is filed under the name Homo sapiens (human). RNAcentral's name for it is "HSALNT0098616". The record is from RNAcentral. Lineage: Eukaryota; Metazoa; Chordata; Mammalia; Primates; Hominidae.